Molecule: ribosomal RNA, 468 nt
Filed under: uncultured bacterium
Lineage: Bacteria
Description: partial 16S ribosomal RNA
Rfam family: Bacterial small subunit ribosomal RNA
Source: RNAcentral
GACGAACGCUGGCGGCGUGCUUAACACAUGCAAGUCGAACGGAAAGGCCCUGCUUUUGUGGGGUGCUCGAGUGGCGAACGGGUGAGUAACACGUGAGUAACCUGCCCUUGACCUUGGGAUAACUUCAGGAAACUGGGGCUAAUACCGGAUAGGAGCUCCUGCUGCAUGGUGGGGGUUGGAAAGUUUCGGCGGUUGGGGAUGGACUCGCGGCUUAUCAGCUUGUUGGUGGGGUAGUGGCUUACCAAGGCUUUGACGGGUAGCCGGCCUGGGAGGGUGACCGGCCACAUUGGGUCUGAGCUGCGGCCCAGACUCCUACGGGAGGCAGCAGUGGGGAAUAUUGCACAAUGGGCGGAAGCCUGAUGCAGCAACGCCGCGUGCGGGAUGACGGCCUUCGGGUUGUAAACCGCUUUCGCCUGUGACGAAGCGUGAGUGACGGUAAUGGGUAAAGAAGCACCGGCUAACUACGUG